UACGAAGGGGGCUAGCGUUGUUCGGAAUUACUGGGCGUAAAGCGCACGUAGGCGGACAUUUAAGUCAGGGGUGAAAUCCCGGGGCUCAACCUCGGAACUGCCUUUGAUACUGGGUGUCUUGAGUAUGGAAGAGGUAAGUGGAAUUGCGAGUGUAGAGGUGAAAUUCGUAGAUAUUCGCAGGAACACCAGUGGCGAAGGCGGCUUACUGGUCCAUUACUGACGCUGAGGUGCGAAAGCGUGGGGAGCAAAC
This 250-nucleotide ribosomal RNA is filed under the name uncultured bacterium. RNAcentral's name for it is "partial 16S ribosomal RNA". It matches the Rfam family "Bacterial small subunit ribosomal RNA", at positions 524 to 773 of the family's 1533-position model. The record is from RNAcentral.